AUUCCAGCUCCAAUAGCGUAUAUUAAAGUUGUUGCGGUAAAAAGCUCGUAGUUGGAUUUCUGUCGAGAACAGCCGGUCACGAUUUUGUCGUUGUAUCUGGUUUGGUCUUGGCAUCCUCUUGGGGAACAUUUCUGCGCUUCACUGCGUGGAGUGGUAUUCAAGACUUUUACUUUGAGGAAAUUAGAGUGUUCACGGCAGGCAAUCGCCCUGAAUAUAUUAGCAUGGAAUAAUGAUAUAGGACCUUGGUUCUAUUUUGUUGGUUUCUAGAACUAAGGUAAUGAUUAAUAGGGACAAUUGGGGGCAUUCGUAUUAACGCGUCAGAGGUGGAAUUCUUAGAUUGCGUUACGACGAACUACUGCGAAAGCAUUUGCCAAGGAUGUUUUCAUCG
RNAcentral lists this ribosomal RNA (388 nucleotides) under Syndiniales sp. Its description in RNAcentral is "partial small subunit ribosomal RNA". It matches the Rfam family "Eukaryotic small subunit ribosomal RNA", at positions 582 to 975 of the family's 1831-position model. Lineage: Eukaryota; Dinophyceae; Syndiniales. The record is from RNAcentral.